AUCGAAAUAAAUACCCAAACGAUCGCAUCUGAUGCAAAUGGCACAGCCUUUUUGGACGCAUUUCUUGUGGUUUUACUGUUUGCUAUUGCAUUUGGGUUUCUCUCGCGCGCCGCUAGACCCUGCUUUCUCGAGCAAUCAGCACGAACCCAUUCUUGUUUGCUUGAGGGUUUUAAGGUAUUCAAUCCAAUCGUUGAACUGUUAGUGAAGGUUUUAGUGCUAGAAGGGUCUUUUAUCAUUGUGGGACAAUUCAAUAGCUGUUGGCAUUUGCAUUGGAAUUGUAGGAAGCAUUGCCGUGAUAGUCCAAUGUACGGCCUGUGUUACGCGAUACCUGUGUAUUUAGGUUGGUAGUACCGCAUCAGGAAGAGUUGAAGUUGAAGCACUCACUCUGAGUUUACAAGGCAGUAUGGGAUUCGAUAAUGAGUGUAUACUGAACAUUCAAUCCCUUGCUGGAGAGUACUUUUGUCCUGUUUGUCGUCUACUGGUAUACCCAAAUGAAGCAUUACAGUCACAGUGCACUCAUCUAUAUUGCAAACCCUGUUUGACUUAUGUUGUGAGCACUACCCGGGCUUGUCCUUAUGAUGGCUACUUGGUGACAGAAGCAGAUUCCAAGCCACUUCUUGAAUCAAAUAAGGCUCUUGCUGAAAUUAUAGGCAAAAUAGUAGUUCAUUGUCUAUAUCACAGGAGUGGAUGCACAUGGCAGGGACCUUUAUCUGAGUGCACAUCUCAUUGUUCUGGGUGUGCAUUUGGCAAUUCUCCUGUUGUGUGCAACCGGUGUGGAAUCCAGAUUGUGCAUCGUCAAGUACAGGAGCAUGCACAAAAUUGUCCUGGUGUGCAGCCACAAGGACAGCAGUCAGAGGUUACAACAGACACAUCAUCUGCUGGCACAGCAACUACUGCUGAUCAGACCCUGACCACUCAAGUGGCAGCAGUGUCAGCUCAAUCUCAGACUUCUCAAAGUACAGUUACCACAACACCUGGACAGGAUUCCAGUCAGCAAGCCAACUCAAGCUCUCAAACUCAAGCAGCUGUGCCAACUGCUGAGCAGUGGUAUCAACAACAACAACAGCAACAAUAUCAACAGUACUAUCAGCAAUAUCCUGGAUAUGAUCCAUAUCAACAGCACUAUCCUAGCUACCAUCCCUAUCAACAGGCAGCUGUUCCCCAAUACCAGCAACAGCAUCUGCAGGCUCAAGCACAACAAGUGGCUGGACAGCAUCAACCUCAGGUGUACAUGCAGCCUCAACCUCAAUCUCAACUACAGCCCCAACAACUUGUUCAGCCUCAAUCUCAGAACCAACCUCAAUCUCAAGUACAGCCUCAACCCCAGCCACAGCCUCAGGCGCCACAAGUUCAGGUUUCUGUGCCUGCUCAACCCCAGAACCAGGCUCAAGGCAACCCACAGCUGCAAGUACUCACUAUGGUGCCUUCGCAAACCCAAUCACAGACUUAUCCGCCAGCUCAUGGUCAUCCAAAUCCUCAACCUCAGCCAUACUCCCAACCACAGCCUCCUCAACAUGGUCAAAUUCCUCAGUAUCAGCAGCUUCAUCCUCAGAUGCAACAUCCCCCUCAAGUUCAACAACAGACCCAACAACCACAGAUCCUGCCGCAGCAUAAUCCUCCUUCUCAAGCUCAGCCACAAGGACAGCUUCAACAUCCUCCUCAAUUCCAUCUUCCUCAGCCCAAUCGACCCCCAAAUGCUAAUAUCCAGCCUCAGGCACAGCAUCCAUCUGCCCAGGCUGUGACAGGUCAUCACUCGUAUCCUCAACCUCAACCUCAUCCUCACCAGCAAAUGCAGGCUGGAACUGCACAACAGUAUCAUGUGCAUGCACAACCUCAAUUUGGGCCUGCACCUCAGUCACAAAAUGCCAGUCAUAUGCAGAGUCACUUCCCUCAGCAGCCUUUACUGAUGAGGCCACCCCAUUCUCAUGCUACAAUUCCGAGCCAGCAGCCAGCUUUAUUACCGUCACCAGGUCAAGUCCAAGAUAUCACUCCUUCAAAACAGCAGUCUGUUCAUUCUCAUUCUCAACAACCUGGACAUCCAGUGCAGCAACGUCCUGUUAUGCAGCCAGUUCAGCAACCCAUGGCUCAGCCAUAUUAUCAGCAGCCGCAGCCUUAUGCCCAACACCAGGUGGCUAUGACAUCACAGUUGCGUCACCCGGGACAGCCUCAUCCAUUCCUACAUCACACUCAUGUCUAUCCACAACCACCACCAAAUGUUGCACUAUCACAUGGCUUGCAACAUGUGCAGUCACAAAAUCCUGUAGGGAGGCCUUUGAUGCCAAAUCAAGGAGUGCAAUCUCAGCCAUAUCCACAAUCUGCUGGGGAAGUUCAGGCAAGGCCAGUGUAUGUAGGUGGAAACCAACAAUCUGCAAACCAGAAUAAUAUGCUCAAAGCAAAUGGCCAAGUUCAAUUGCCUUCUGAACAACAUUCUGGUGGAAACACUAGACCAAUAAUAUCUGAGAGGCAAGGUGAUCCUUUAUUUGAGAAAAGCUUGCCCCUGCAAGAAACUGAAGUACUUCCUCCAAAAACCGGUAAAAUUGUUGCAAAUGAUGUGGAAUCAGCACCUGGUUCGGAAGCUGAUGUGGGUGAGGUAAAAAUUGAGAAGUCUGAAACUGAUAUGAAGUUCAAGGACAAUGAACAUAAAUCCAAGGUUGAAGAUAAAACUAGUCAAAAGAAGAUUCUGCAGUCUACAGAGAUGAGCAUAGAACGUGAGUCACAUCAUAUGGAAAAUGGGGAACCUAAAAUUAGGCCAGUAAUGGAGGAAGUAAAACAUGAAAGUACCCUGACGCAUUCAACAAAUGGUAAAUCAGGGGACGUGGUAGGUGAGGACACCAAAGAUGUUCUUGAUGUAGAGACCAGACAAAGUGAGCACUCUGUUCUUGAAAAGAAGGAGAUUAUGGAUGGCUCUCAACCGAAAAAUCCUCCAUUACAAGUAGCAAAACUUCAUGAAGAACAGGGUGGGAAGUUGCAGAAGGAUCCUAUCAGUGGAUCUGAUGAGGGCUUGAAAGCUGCAUCUGCUGCUUCAGCUCCAACAGUUGGUUGUCCAGCUCAGAAUGCUUCAUCGGGAGGAACUGUUCUUGGGAAUGAAAAAAUACAGUCUAAUCAAUAUGGUUUUCUGGACAAAGGUGGCAUUGGGGAACCUUCUCAUCCACUUCCCAUGUCUGAUUCAGGAAGGCCUCACUAUGGGUCCUCUACUCUCCCACAAAGGCCUGGUGCACCUUCUUUGUUACAAGCACCUCCUCCAGGUCCUCCACAUCAAUCACAGGGGCUGGGGCACCCUCCAACUCAUUUUAGGCCUCAAGGACCAGGGCAUGUACCAGGACAGCCUUUUCACCCACCCAGUGGCACACAAGAAAGAGGCUUCACGGCAACCUUUGGAAGAGGACCUGGUCAGUAUGGCCCUGCACAUCGGAGCUUUGAUGUGCAGUCUGGUGCUCCUCCAGGGACAUACAAUCAAGGACAUGUGCCAGCGCUGCCAUUUGGUGCUGUGCCUCCAAGUGCUUUUGAUUCGCAUGGGGGAGUUAUGGCGAGAGCAAUUCCUCAUGGUCCUGAAGGUCGGAUGAGUUUACAACACCCUCCAGAUGCACUAGAACCAGAAAUGUUUCCAAAUCAAGGGCCCGAUCACAUGAAUGGUAGACGGCGUGAUCCUUUUAUCCCUGGGUCUUUGGAACAGGGAAGUCUUGCACAGCCAUCCAGCAUCCACCAAAAUCUGAUGAGAAUGAAUGGGACUCCAGGUUUUGAUUCCUCAUCUACACUUGGUUCAAGGGAUGAAAGGUUUAAGCCAUUGCUGGAUGAACGAUUAAAUUCUAUGCCAUUGCCACCAGGUCCAGAUCGUCGUGGUUUUGAUCAUGCAGAGUUUGAAGAUGAUCUAAAGCAGUUCCCUGUUCUUGAUGCUGAGCCUAUUCCCAAAUUCAGGAAUAUAUCUUCUAGACCCUAUGAUAGGGGACCCCCUGAGGGAAAGUAUGAUGCUGGUUUGAAAUUGGAUCCUGGGACUGGGUCCACUUCUUCUAGAUUCUUGUCCCCCUACCAUCGUGGAGGUGCCUUACAGGCCAAUGAGGUAGGAGAGAGACCAGUUGGCCUUCAUGAAGAUAUUAUUAGGAGAGCAGAACCUAAUCAUGGCCAUCCAGAUUUUUUUGGUCCUGUUCCUGCAUAUGGUCGUCAUCAUAUGGAUAGUUUGCCGCCACAAAGUCCAUCUCGAGAAUACCCUGGUAUCUCUUCACGUGGUUUUGGAGGUUCUGGAUAUGAUGAUUUCGAUGGCAGGGAAUUACAUCGAUUCGGUGAACCUGUUGGCAAUGCAUUCCAUGAAGGGAGGUUUACCAUGUUACCUGGCCAUCUGCGCAGGGGUGAGUUUGAGGUUCCUGGAAACAUGCGAAUGGGUGAGCAUUUCAGGAGUGAUUUCAUUGGUCAAGAUAACCUGCCUAGUCAUCUUCGGAGGGGAGAGCACUUGGGUCCUCAUAACUUGCAUGGUCAUUUGCACUUUGGGGAGCCAGUUGGUUUUGGCGGCCACCCUCGUCACGCACAGAUUGGGGGAAUGGCUGGGCCUGGGAGUUUUGAGUCAUUUGCUGGAGGUAAUAGACCAAGUUAUCCUCGUCUUGGUGAGCCUGGGUUUAGGAGCAGCUUUUCACUUCAAGGGUUUCCAAAUGAUGGUGGAUCUUACACAGGAGACAUGGAGUUUCACAAUUGGAGGAAGAGAAAACCUGCUAGCUCAGGAUGGUGUCGAAUCUGUAAAGUUGACUGCGAAACAGUUGAAGGCUUGGACUUGCAUUCACAAACAAGAGAGCACCAGAAGCUGAGUAUGGAUAUGGUACUGAGCAUCAAGCAAACGGCAAAGAAACAGAAAUUAACAUCUGGUGAUCAUUCAUCACUUGGAGAUGCAAGCAAGUCAAGGAAUGCUGGUGCUGAGGGACGUGCGAAAAAUAAUUAGUUAUUGAUGAUGCUGCAAUGUGGAUCUCUCUAGUUUCGAUUGACUUGGGGUUGAAUUUGUUUCUUUGAUAUAUGCCAUUAGCAUAUAGGUGAUUCACCCUUCCCUGCCUCUUUCUCUACUUUUGGGGUUGGUUUAUGCUAGUUUUGUCAUUUCAGGUUGCUGCCAUGUUAAUGGAGAUGGUUUAUGGAACAGAAGUUCAGUGGCAAUCUUUUCAAUUCGACCUGUCAUUUUUUGGGCGAAGAAGACAACAUAAAGGCUGAAAGUUCAGUGGAAAGGUUUACACGAUCAUCUAUUUUAAUGUGGUAAGAUUGUGUUAAGUGUACAGAUUUUGUUUGUGGCGGUGUUUACUGCUUAGUAUUUAUUUUGCAAAAUUGGAGAUGUGUUGGGCAUUUUGUUUGUUUCUUUAGAUACAUAUGAUUAAGUACUGUUUUCCAAAUGACUAGGGCAGUUACUUAUCAGUUUUGUUAUCUUAGAUGCUUUGCAAAGAAUGCUUGGCUCACAUUCCACCUUUAGGCAUUAGUUUUUUCUAUAAUUUUUUAGAUCAUACUUGAAAUUACUACUCUUUUUAUCUUUUUCAGAAAUUAAACUGGUGCUCUUUUAUCUGUUUCUAGAAAUUUCUGACAUGCUUUUCAACUCUCUUGGUUAGUUAGCUUAUUCUUAGGAAGAAGCUGAAGAAUGCAUUAUGUUGGAUAAUGUGUUGGACACUAUAGCCUUAGCUUAAUUGUUGUGUGUGGGAAUUACCAGUUUGAGGAAUGAAUUUAUACGCUGAGACUUUGACCAUGUAUCUACAAAUCAGUUGUCAUUUAAAUUUGACAAAACAGAUCUUAAAUUUGGGAGUUGCUUUUUAUUACACUUUUGACUUCCUUAGUGAAACAAUUAGUAAUUAUGAAGGAGACAGUAGUCUGCUAUUUGAACUCUAGACACUAGCUGGAUAAAAUUUGUUUUAGUCACAUAGAAGGCUAUAAGUCUGUUAAAAAUAAUUUACAUUUUACAUUGUCUUCUUUGAGGAGUUCAAAUCAUGUUAACCGAUGGUGGUAUUAUUGGUGGGUGCAUUAAGUUUUGUUGAAUUCGUAUCUUUUGAUUGUUGGAGCCACUCAUAUCUAGGUUUUUUUUUUUUUUUUUUUUUUUUUUUUGGGAGGAAUAAAAUAAAUUGUAUAAAUGGAGGUUUUGUCUGUUUGUGCUAGAUAGGCAUAUUGCACUUAUACAAAUUGUUGUGCUUGUCUUUUGGACAUGUCAAACCUGACACUUAACUCGAAUCCUUUUAUUUAUAUAUAUUUUUUCAAAUACUGGUAAACCAUCUAGCAAGCAGGAAAUGCUAUGGUUAUUUAUCUUUUUUAUAUGUAGUGUUAUCCAUUAAGCUAUAAUAACAUUAGAAUAGACUCAAAUCAUGGUAAAAUUUGAAUAGUAAAUUUGGAUUGCCACCCCUCAACUGUGGUUUAACUUCUCGUUAGCAUAAAUGCUUACAGAGGAAUACUAUUGAUUCAAAUAUAUCAUAAUGAUUGAUUUUUUCUUGGUGUAAGCUUUUAUUUGUCUUGUAAUUUCAAUCACCAAACCUAAGAAUUACAUGUAUAGUUAGUUUCUGGUAUCAACUAAUUUGGUAAUCCAAAUUUGAAAUUUCUACAUCUCUGGUUGAGUAGAUAUAAACCUCUCUGCUCAUGAUGUUUGUUCAUAAUUCCUUUAUAACAACUAACAUAAUUGACUACUAUAUGACCUUGACUCAUACAUUUUUCUUCUGCUGGCUCUCACAUUAUGUAUUCCAUUAAAGAUCUCCAAUGGUUCAUGAAAGUUUCCAUCCUUUUGUAUUGCUUGGGCUUCCAUUGUAGUUAAUGAGCUGCAUUCUUAAUGUUGGAUGGGAGUUCUGCACUUCAAAUCCUGCUUUGUUGUUUUUGUACCAGGUUUGUGUCUUUUUUUAAAGUUUUUUACUUUUGGCAUUUCAGUUUUGUGUUAUGAUGUGAAUCCUAGAGUGAUAUGUUUUUUUUUCAGCUGUUUUUUCAAUCUGGUUUUAAUUUUAUUUUUGCCUUUAAGUUGCAUAACUGAUUGCCUUUUGUUUUGCUACAUUUAUGUCUAUCAAUGUCUUGUAUGUUUAAAACAAAUAUAGUUUGUCAAGUGGCUUAUUUUUCCAAAUUCUAACCAACAAGUUUAUGAUGAAGGACGGUUUCUUCUUAUCCAUUUUUCAUUUGUCUCUGUGUAGUUAGCAUGUUAGAAUAUGGCUUGAUGGACAUGGUUGUUUCCCAAUCUUACCUCAUCAUGAUGUGUAUGUCGUAACUAAACCCUGGUAAUUAAUUACUUUAUGAGAUUUUGUUCUUAGUAUAUAUUUGGUUGACCAUAUAGUCAAAUAGAACUAACAGUGGUCUAGAUAGAUUAGAACAUACAGAAAAAGUCUCUCUCCUUACCCAUCUUCCCUCCCUGAAGAGCAAGGAUAUUCUUCUGUUUUGCUUCUAUCUAAAGGAUUGGUUGAGUGCAAUUUCCUUCUGUUUUUAGAUUUAUCAAUUCUGAUGCCUUUCCUGCUUUUCUCCUUACCCUGCAAAAAUCGUAGAAUAUGAGAAAUAAGGUUCAAUUUGAAAUAUAGUCUCAUUGGAAUAAGUAUUAUUGCCACCAAUUAUUUAAGAUCUUUUGAUUUAGUGCUUUUUGUUAAUUUGAGAAUAAUAAUGUUCUUUAAUCACUUCAUUUUCUAAUUUUUGGAACUUCAUAUUUUUUUUUUGGGGGGAAAAAAAAUGUAGUUUUGGAGUUGCUUCAAAGUUCUUUCAGUGUUUAGUUACCAGGGACGAUUUUAUUGGUGUCUAUCGAAGUUUGAUAAUUGUAGGGGGUUUAUAUCAUUUAUAGUUUUUAAAUUUUAUCUAUUAGCUCCUUUCUUUUAUUUUAUUAUUAUUUUUUGUUUUUUUGGGCUACUGUCGGUCAUAUGUCUAUUUGAAUGUUCUAAUAUUUAAUCCAUUAUUCAUUUCAAGUCUUCCUUAUUAGCUUUAGGAAGGUGCUUGGUAUUUUGAUCUAUCAAUUUUGUUUACCUUAAACUUCGCAUCCCGUUGUCAUUGUAAGUCAGAUUUUUUUAUGUAAGAUCUAUUGUUUUUGUUUUGCUUUUCCUUUAUUUUACAACAUUUCUAGAGUAGUAGGUGGCAAAGGCAUAGGUUUGAACGACUUAUAGAUACAAUACGGACACUGCUAUUUCUUUAAAAAGUGGGUCAAAAAGCAAUUUUUGGUUUGAAUGUGAGGUUUUUGAUUGCUAUUCCUCUUGAAAGGUUUUAAUGAGCAAGACGGUUUGUAUGUUAGCGUUUGCUUUCAUAGUGCUCCAUAAAUAGUUGUCAAUAUUUGUGCAAUUAUAGAGUUUCUUUAGGUAAUAGAGUUGGAAGGGAAGGUGCUGAAUUCGUGUUCUGUAGAAAACUAUCCAAAAGUUCACCAAUACAACAAGAGUAGGCAUAUUUGCACAAAUUAUAGAGACUAAAAUAGUCACUCUUUUCUUUUAGAAUUUUGAGAGCAAGUGGUGGUUGUUGAAUGGCAUAAACGAGGAAUGCCCUUCUAUUUAUUUGUAGAUAUUUGUGGAUCAUGAAUAUAAUGCUAUAAUAUAUAUAUAUAUAUAUAUAUAUAUAUUUGUGAAACAUAUGUUUGGUUGAAAUGGAUUGUAAAUAGGAAUAUAAUCAAAAUUGAAAGAACUUUUUUUUUUUUUUCCUUUCCCUUUUGGUGGUGAAUAUUGAAAGGAGAACUAUUGAUGAAUGGAAUGAAUGAAAAAAAAAAAAAAAUUUGAUUUCAUUGUUUGGUUGACUCUAGUAAUUAAUUGUGGAUCAAAAUUUCUGAAACUAAGACGUCAAAUUUAUUUGAUUAUCAAUAUUAGUUUGACAAAAAUGCCCCUAACGAUAAAUUUUAUUAGUGAAGUUAAUUAGACUGUAUAUAUCUUUAAAGAAAGAAGAAAGUGUGAAGAAAAAACCUAGGGAGAUUAGAAAAAUAAUCUAAAGGGUAAUUAAGCAGUAGCUGGGUAAUUUUUUUCACUAAAUAGAAAAAAUCGGUGACUAGGUAAUUUAUAGAUUUUUUAACAAUUCUAGCUGACAAUGAAAAGGGCAUUCUAAUAGAACUCCAUUCCAAGGCUACUUACGAAACAUUGGGGGGGAAAAAAAUUUAAAAAAAAAAAAAAAAAAAAAAUUUAAUGCAGACAGAGGUUGGUGGGGUUUACGGGAUUAGUGGAAAAAUGGGGGUCAUAUUUGAUGCCUAGGGUGUGCUACUAAACUAGGAUAUGCCCUCCUGUGCUUUACUUUUGCUAACGUUUUCUUGAAGCACUCACUGCUGGUUUGGUGGGUCCCUCCAAGUUGGUGACGAUGAGAUGGAAGAUUUUUCUUGGCACGGAUCUCUAUGCUUCAGAAGUGACUAUUGCUCACUCUGUUAUUUCCCUUAUUUAUUUUCAUUGCUUUGAACACAUAUGUAUAUAUAUUUUGUAAAAACAUUACUAAAAUUUCUCAGCUUAAUGAUAGAUUUCUUCAGUUCUUCUCGUA
Molecule: RNA transcript, 9399 nt
Organism: Ziziphus jujuba (common jujube)
Lineage: Eukaryota; Viridiplantae; Streptophyta; Magnoliopsida; Rosales; Rhamnaceae
Exons: 8
Source: RefSeq, a predicted model, not a curated record